AUGUCUUCCUCCUCCGGCGCAUCUCACCCUAGCCUCAAUGGGCAGGUCAUUGAGAAACUCUCUCGCACGAACUACGUGCUAUGGCGCACACAGAUCACGCCGCAGUUGCGUGGCGCCGGUGUCUUCAACUAUGUUGACGGCACCUCGCCGGAGCCGGCCAAGCUUCUCGCCGCCAAGGACAAGGACAGCAAGGAGACUUUCGAGCCCAACCCUCUCCACCCACUAUGGGUCAGGGAGGACCAGCAGGUGCUCGGAUAUCUGCUGAGCAACCUCUCCAAGGAGGUGCUCGUCACGGUGACCACGGGCACCACGGCGCAGGCGCUCUGGACGAUGCUGGCGGGCAUGUACUCGUCGCAGUCGCUGAGCCGCGUCAACAACAUCCGCACCUCCCUCAUCAACGCAUAG
This 405-nucleotide ribosomal RNA is filed under the name Triticum aestivum (bread wheat). Its description in RNAcentral is "partial small subunit ribosomal RNA". The record is from RNAcentral. Lineage: Eukaryota; Viridiplantae; Streptophyta; Magnoliopsida; Poales; Poaceae.